CUGCGGUCUGGGCUUCUCUGCCUACGAGCUUGGGGGAGAGUUUGAGAACGUGGUCGAGCUUCACUCGACCCUUUUUCAGCUGUGGGCUUGCUGGAGUCGCUCGCCUACCGCUCCUUCACGGCCUCCUCAUCCUUCAGUUUGAAGGCUUUCUCUGCUCGGGCAUAUCCUUCGGCCCGAGCUAGCAAAUCAGCAAAAUUUCUGGGAUACUUCUUUUCUAGA
RNAcentral lists this long non-coding RNA (219 nucleotides) under Elaeis guineensis (African oil palm). RNAcentral describes it as "long non-coding RNA (EGUI_LNC053699)". Lineage: Eukaryota; Viridiplantae; Streptophyta; Magnoliopsida; Arecales; Arecaceae. The record is from RNAcentral.